Long non-coding RNA from Hemicordylus capensis (graceful crag lizard), 1012 nucleotides. RefSeq lists it as uncharacterized. NCBI's taxonomy places the organism in Eukaryota, Metazoa, Chordata, Lepidosauria, Squamata, Cordylidae. The record is from RefSeq and is a predicted model, not a curated record. The transcript has 4 exons.
UUCUUGCUUGUAGCCACCCCCAAUCCCCAGUGGCUUUAAUUACUGGAGUAUUGUGUGUGCUGUUUUCCCCUCCCCCUAAUUAUUUUAAAAUAGUACCAGCAGCUCAGUGGCUUAACUGAAUGCUGUUUAGGUAUUUAUUUCCUUGUGUGCUCUCUCUCUCUCUCUCUCUCUCUCUCAUUGCUUUUAGCCAGCCUCCUUUAAUAACUGGGGUGCUGUGAUUCUCCCCCCCGCCACCAUUUUAUUUAAAUUGUACCAUCAGCCCCCAGGUUUUAACUGGAUGCUGCUUUGAAUUUUAUUCCUUGUUUGUUUGUUUUUCUCGUUGCUUGUAAUAACUGGGUCACUGUAUUUUUAUUCUGUUUUGCAGCCCUGCUGCCACCUUAGCUGCUGCUGUCUGUGGGCUGCCUGGUGGAUUAAUGUUUGGUUUUUGUAGGCUGGUGUGUGGUGCACUGCCUACACACCAAGAGUCUGCCUGACAGACUCCCUACCUUGCCGGGUGGUGAUGUUUUGAUUGGGUGGGUGGGUGCCUGACUGGUGCUCACCUACCCUCCCCUCAGCUAUCGAGUCCUGGUGUCUGCUUGGCCCAAGAGUGUCUCUGAGAGCAACACCUGGCAGUUUGCAGCCGAAGACACUGCUGGAAGCCCCCAGCCAAAGAUGCCAGAUAGAAGCAAAGAUUGCUGGAGAAAAAAAUAAGACAAUAAAUUAAAAAGUAGCUGAGGAGACAGAGAUGGCAAUUGCUGUUUUGAAAGAGACUUUGUGAAGCAUACUUUGUGGUCUGUCACAGUGACAGCCUCCCAAAUCGAUAGUAUCCUGUGGUCAGUGCUGAGUACCACAAUGCAAGAAAGUGGUUGACAAGUUGGAACAGAUUCAAAGGACAUCUAUAAGGCAACCCUAUAAGAGGAGAAUAAUCAUUCUUUUGUUGCAAAUGGGAGGUGAUCCAGAAAGAAAGUGGCUUGUCUAAGGCCACAUGUAGCCCGAUGAUCCUAUGUAUGUUGACUCAGAAUGAAGCCCCACU